This is a non-coding RNA of Mesocricetus auratus (golden hamster), 79 nucleotides long. The record is from Rfam. NCBI's taxonomy places the organism in Eukaryota, Metazoa, Chordata, Mammalia, Rodentia, Cricetidae.
GUACCUAUGAUGACAUACUAAUUUCCCAAAAAGGUUUGAUGACAUAGAAAUCAUGCUGAAUAGGAUUACACUAAAGGUC